RNAcentral lists this ribosomal RNA (102 nucleotides) under Escherichia coli. Its description in RNAcentral is "partial 16S ribosomal RNA". The stretch from base 1 to 90 matches the Rfam family "Bacterial small subunit ribosomal RNA", at positions 1444 to 1533 of the family's 1533-position model. The record is from RNAcentral. Lineage: Bacteria; Pseudomonadati; Pseudomonadota; Gammaproteobacteria; Enterobacterales; Enterobacteriaceae.
GGGAGGGCGCUUACCACUUUGUGAUUCAUGACUGGGGUGAAGUCGUAACAAGGUAACCGUAGGGGAACCUGCGGUUGGAUCACCUCCUUACCUUAAAGAUGC